This 97-nucleotide signal recognition particle RNA is filed under the name Nevskia sp. RNAcentral describes it as "signal recognition particle sRNA small type". It matches the Rfam family "Bacterial small signal recognition particle RNA". From Rfam's summary of the family: The signal recognition particle (SRP) is a universally conserved ribonucleoprotein involved in the co-translational targeting of proteins to membranes. Archaeal SRP consists of a 7S RNA and homologues of the eukaryotic SRP19 and SRP54 proteins. Lineage: Bacteria; Pseudomonadati; Pseudomonadota; Gammaproteobacteria; Nevskiales; Nevskiaceae. The record is from RNAcentral.
CGCCGGUGCCCCCGCGACGGCAAGCCGUGAACCCCGCCAGGCCCGGAAGGGAGCAACGGUAGCGGUGUAGCCGGGUGCCGGGGUGUCGCUGGCGCGG